This 565-nucleotide ribosomal RNA is filed under the name Dothiorella gregaria. RNAcentral describes it as "eukaryotic LSU rRNA". The stretch from base 188 to 341 matches the Rfam family "5.8S ribosomal RNA". Lineage: Eukaryota; Fungi; Ascomycota; Dothideomycetes; Botryosphaeriales; Botryosphaeriaceae. The record is from RNAcentral.
UAUUUUCGCUGCGACUGUUCGGGCUCGGCCCGAUCCUCCCACCCUUUGUGUACCUACCUCUGUUGCUUUGGCGGGCCGCGGUCCUCCGCGGCCGCCCCCCUCCCCGGGGGGGUGGCCAGCGCCCGCCAGAGGACCAUCAAACUCCAGUCAGUAAACGAUGCAGUCUGAAAAACAUUUAAUAAACUAAAACUUUCAACAACGGAUCUCUUGGUUCUGGCAUCGAUGAAGAACGCAGCGAAAUGCGAUAAGUAAUGUGAAUUGCAGAAUUCAGUGAAUCAUCGAAUCUUUGAACGCACAUUGCGCCCUUUGGUAUUCCGAAGGGCAUGCCUGUUCGAGCGUCAUUACAACCCUCAAGCUCUGCUUGGUAUUGGGCACCGUCCUUUGCGGGCGCGCCUCAAAGACCUCGGCGGUGGCGUCUUGCCUCAAGCGUAGUAGAACAUACAUCUCGCUUCGGAGCGCAGGGCGUCGCCCGCCGGACGAACCUUCUGAACUUUUCUCAAGGUUGACCUCGGAUCAGGUAGGGAUACCCGCUGAACUUAAGCAUAUCAAUAAGCGGAGGAACUAA